GACGAACGCUGGCGGCGUGCCUAAUACAUGCAAGUAGAACGAGUUGCGAACGGGUGAGUAACGCGUGGUAACCUGCCUCAUAGCGGGGGAUAACUAUUGGAAACGAUAGCUAAUACCGCAUACCAUCAGAUGUGCACAGAUGGGAUUAGCUAGUAGGUGGGGUAAAGGCUCACCUAGGCGACGAUCCCUAGCUGGUCUGAGAGGAUGACCAGCCACACUGGAACUGAUACACGGUCCAGAAUCCUACGGGAGGCAGCAGGGGGGAAGAUUGCACAAUGGGCGCAAGCCUGAUGCAGGCAUGCCGCGUGUGUGAAGAAGGCCUUCGGGUUGUAAAGCACUUUCAGCGGGGAGGCGUUACCCGCAGAAGAAGCACCGGCUAACUCCGUGCCAGCGGCCGCGGUAAUAA
This 406-nucleotide ribosomal RNA is filed under the name uncultured bacterium. RNAcentral's name for it is "partial 16S ribosomal RNA". It matches the Rfam family "Bacterial small subunit ribosomal RNA", at positions 28 to 526 of the family's 1533-position model. The record is from RNAcentral.